ACAAUAUCUUCAUCUUCCCACUCUCCUCAUUAAUCAGAACAAAUUCAUACCCUCAAUUCUCUCUCUCUAAUAACCCUUGUAAACCUAAUCUCCUCACCACCACUAUUCUUCUGCCGGUCACCACCACUUUUUAAAACAAAACCACAAAGAAACCCUAAAAAUUUUUGGUUACGGUUACGAUGGAAAUGGAUUUGCUGGCGGUGCCUACGGUGGUGGAUACGGAGGGGGUGGUGGCAGUUAUGGAGGCAGUGGUGGCGGAGGUGGAUCUUACGGCGGAAACCAUGGUGGAGGCGGUGGUUAUGGUGGCGCCAACGGUGGUGGUGGAGGAUACGGAUGUAAUUUACAAAAUGGAGGAUACGGAGGAGUGAUGGUGGGCAGCAGUAAUCCUACCCACUUGGAUUUAUUUGUGAAUUUGUAUAAAUAAUCACUUGGAAUUUUGAAAUUUUGAUGCGAGAGAGAGAAGGAGGUGGUGGCGGGGCAGUGGUGAGGAGGUAGUGGUGGCGGUGGUGAAAAGGGGGAGGAGGUGGUGGAGUUCAUAGUGGCGGUGGUGUUAGAGAGAGAGAGAGGUGUUUAGAGAGAGAGAGAGAGAGAGUGCAGACUUUUGAGGUUUAUAUAUAUAUAUAUAUAUAUAUAUAUAUAUAUAUAUAUAUAUGCUUAAAAUGACCAUUUUGCCCCUAAGGAAAAGGACAAAAACCAGAGUUUUUUUUAGAGAUCUGAGCUGACUUUGUUUUUAGACCAAAAUGGCAAAAAAUGAAACCGCAAAGUUGACCACGCCCCGUGGAGAGCUGGGCACGGCCCCGUGGUGGGCGUAGAAGUUUCUGAAGGUUUGUCUUGUUGUGCAAGGCCUGACCACGCCCCAUGCUCAGCUGGGCACGGCCCCGUGGUCAGGUUCUGUUUCCUUGUUUUAUCUUGGGAGAUGCUGCCGAGGGGUUGGGCAUGUCACCUUAUUCCUUCUUCUUGUAUUUAUGUUGGUUUUGGCUGCUUAUUUGUUCCUUUUGUUCUUUUAAGCUCGUUUGGUCCUGUAAAUUCAAAAGGAAGAAAGAAACGUGCUUUUUCCAACAUUAGUACUAAAAAGGGUUAGUUUUAUGCCUCAAUUGAUGUAAUUUAUAUGUUACAUUUUGCACACAUCAGAAAUCCAGGGUUUUCAUGUUAAAAGAAUUAGGGUAAUUAACAAGAGGAAUAUUGAGGAAGAGGAUGACUUGUGUUUGAACUUAUGUGCAAAUGUAUGCCAAAAAACAUGAAAAUAUGAAAGAUAUGUUUUGUCUUA
This is a long non-coding RNA of Helianthus annuus (common sunflower), 1267 nucleotides long. RefSeq lists it as uncharacterized. The transcript is spliced from 2 exons. The record is from RefSeq and is a predicted model, not a curated record. Lineage: Eukaryota; Viridiplantae; Streptophyta; Magnoliopsida; Asterales; Asteraceae.